UCUUGCCAGGCAAGAUUGAGAUCAAAAUUGUGCGACCCGGGGCUGAAGGUAAGGAGGAGGACACACGCUGGCUGACUGAUGAGGACACAAGAAACCUUAAGGAGAUUUUCUUCAAUAUCUUGGUGAGACAUCCUACCCACAUCCUGAGCCGCAGCACACACCACUGUGCUGCUCAAAUUAGGGUCUGGUUAUGCCAGCCAUACCUGUUUGUGCACCCCAUCCUCCUGUCCCAGGUGACGCUAAGCCUCAGCUGCUGCUCAGGGGAGUCCAUUGGGAGAGUCCAUUGGGAGGCCACAUCCCUAGUCCCUGCCUCCCGCCGAGGUCUCAGGACCUCCCUAGAUCCCACAGAACAGGAGUUUCCUUGGCUCAACCCCUCCUUCCUCCCAGGUGCAGGGAGCAGAAGAGGCCAAUAAAGAACGCCAGCGACAGAGUGAGCUGGAGAGCAAUUACCGCCGUGUAUGGGGCUCUCCGGGUGGAGAGGAUACAGGGGACCUGGAUGAGUUUGACUUCUGAGACCACCUUGCUAGGCCCUUUAAGGAUUACUGCAACGUCCUGACCAGCUCUGCCUCCUUACCCCAUCCUGGGGCCCUGGAGGCAAAGGGCAGAUUGGAACCCAGCACUGGAUUUCAGGGGCCCAGCCUGAGGGUGUGUGAAGACCCACGAGGGAGACCUGUUGCAGUCCCAGGGAGCCACCUAAGGCCACGACCAGGCUAUAGGUUUCGCUCCCCAAACAUACCCUCCUUUGCUCCUUUAGCUUUUCCUGUCCCCCACCUUCUUAGCACUUAACCCCACUCUACCCAGAGACUUGAUGAGACCUUGUGCGUGGGAGUGGCAGGAAC
This 839-nucleotide long non-coding RNA is filed under the name Rattus norvegicus (Norway rat). RNAcentral describes it as "long non-coding RNA NONRATT026822". The record is from RNAcentral. Lineage: Eukaryota; Metazoa; Chordata; Mammalia; Rodentia; Muridae.